UACGUAGGGUGCAAGCGUUGUCCGGAUUCACUGGGCUUAAAGGGUGCGUAGGUGGGCAGGUAAGUCAGUGGUGAAAUCUCCGGGCUUAACCCGGAAACUGCCAUUGAUACUAUUUGUCUUGAAUACUUUGGAGGUAAGCGGAAUAUGUCAUGUAGCGGUGAAAUGCUUAGAUAUGACAUAGAACACCAAUUGCGCAGGCAGCUUACUAGACAGUAAUUGACACUGAGGCACGAAAGCGUGGGGAUCAAACAGG
Molecule: ribosomal RNA, 253 nt
Filed under: uncultured bacterium
Lineage: Bacteria
Description: partial 16S ribosomal RNA
Rfam family: Bacterial small subunit ribosomal RNA
Source: RNAcentral